UACAGAGGGUGCGAGCGUUAAUCGGAUUUACUGGGCGUAAAGGGCGCGUAGGUGGCUUUGCAAGUCGGGUGUGAAAUCCCCAGGCUUAACCUGGGAAGUGCAUUCGAGACUGCAUUGCUAGAGUAUGGGAGAGGGAAGUGGAAUUUCCGGUGUAGCGGUGAAAUGCGUAGAUAUCGGAAGGAACAUCAGUGGCGAAAGCGACUUCCUGGACCAAUACUGACGCUCAGGUGCGAAAGCGUGGGGAGCAAACAGG
This 253-nucleotide ribosomal RNA is filed under the name uncultured bacterium. RNAcentral describes it as "partial 16S ribosomal RNA". It matches the Rfam family "Bacterial small subunit ribosomal RNA", at positions 524 to 776 of the family's 1533-position model. The record is from RNAcentral.